This 209-nucleotide long non-coding RNA is filed under the name Carica papaya (papaya). RNAcentral describes it as "long non-coding RNA (CPAP_LNC013783)". Lineage: Eukaryota; Viridiplantae; Streptophyta; Magnoliopsida; Brassicales; Caricaceae. The record is from RNAcentral.
GUGAGAUCCAUGAAAACAACAUAUGAAAGUAAUAACAUUAUCAUCAUCAUGAAAUCAUAUAGACUUUAUAACAUAACACUUACCACGCAUUUGCAUUUCAAUCAUUAAACAACAUAUUUUCCUUUUUUACCAGCCUACUAGUAUCCAUGGGGAUCCAUAGGGGGUCCCCGCUACCCGUGAACCAUUAACAUUAAUAACCUGAUUCCAGG